GACGAACGCUGGCGGCGUGCCUAAUACAUGCAAGUAGAACGCUGAGGACUGGUGCUUGCACCGGUCCAAGGAGUUGCGAACGGGUGAGUAACGCGUAGGUAACCUACCUCAUAGCGGGGGAUAACUAUUGGAAACGAUAGCUAAUACCGCAUAAAAGUGUUUAACCCAUGUUAAACAUUUAAAAGGUGCAAUUGCAUCACUAUGAGAUGGACCUGCGUUGUAUUAGCUAGUUGGUGAGGUAACGGCUCACCAAGGCGACGAUACAUAGCCGACCUGAGAGGGUGAUCGGCCACACUGGGACUGAGACACGGCCCAAACGCCUACGGGAGGCAGCAGCUAAGAAUCUUCCGCAAUGGACGAAAGUCUGACGGAGCGACGCCGUGUGAAUGAAGAAGGCCGAAAGGUUGUAAAAUUCUUUUGCAGAUGAAGAAUAAGAAGAAGAGGGAAUGCUUCUUUGAUGACGGUAGUCAUGCGAAUAAGCCCCGGCUAAUUACGUGCCAGCAGCCGCGGUAACACGUAAGGGGCGAGCGUUGUUCGGAAUUAUUGGGCGUAAAGGGUAUGUAGGCGGUUAGGUAAGCCUGGUGUGAAAUCUACGAGCUCAACUCGUAAACUGCAUUGGGUACUGCUUGACUUGAAUCACGGAGGGGAAACCGGAAUUCCAAGUGUAGGGGUGGAAUCUGUAGACAUUUGGAAGAACACCGGUGGCGAAGGCGGGUUUCUGGCCGAUGAUUGACGCUGAUAUACGAAGGUGCGGGGAGCAAACAGG
Molecule: ribosomal RNA, 766 nt
Filed under: uncultured Streptococcus sp.
Lineage: Bacteria; Bacillati; Bacillota; Bacilli; Lactobacillales; Streptococcaceae
Description: bacterial SSU rRNA
Rfam family: Bacterial small subunit ribosomal RNA
Source: RNAcentral